This 751-nucleotide ribosomal RNA is filed under the name uncultured archaeon. Its description in RNAcentral is "bacterial SSU rRNA". It matches the Rfam family "Archaeal small subunit ribosomal RNA", at positions 10 to 770 of the family's 1478-position model. The record is from RNAcentral.
GAUCCUGCCGGACCCGACUGCUAUCAGAGUGGGACUAAGCCAUGCGAGUCGACACAGCAAUGUGUGGCAUACGGCUCAGUAACACGUAGUCAACAUGCCCAGGGGACGUGGAUAACCUCGGGAAACUGAGGAUAAACCGCGAUAGGUCACUACUUCUGGAAUGGGUAAUGACCCAAACCUAUAUGGCCCCUGGAUUGGACUGCGGCCGAUCAGGCUGUUGGUGAGGUAAUGGCCCACCAAACCUGUAACCGGUACGGGCUCUGAGAGGAGGAGCCCGGAGAUGGGCACUGAGGCAAGGGCCCAGGCCCUAUGGGGCGCAGCAGGCGCGAACCUCUGCAAUAGGCGAAAGCUUGACAGGGUUACUCUGAGUGGUUUCCGUUAAGGAGAUCUUUUGGCACCUCUAAAAAUGGUGCAGAAUAAGGGGUGGGCAAGUCUGGUGUCAGCCGCCGCGGUAAUACCAGCACCCCGAGUGGUCGGGACGUUUAUUGGGCCUAAAGCAUCCGUAGCCGGUUCUACAAGUCUUCCGUUAAAUCCACCUGCUCAACAGAUGGGCUGCGGAAGAUACUAUGGAGCUGGGAGGCGGGAGAGGCAAGCGGUACUCGAUGGGUAGGGGUAAAAUCCGUUGAUCCAUUGAAGACCACCAGUGGCGAAGGCGGCUUGCCAGAACGCGCUCGACGGUGAGGGAUGAAAGCUGGGGGAGCAAACCGGAUUAGAUACCCGGGUAGUCCCAGCUGUAAACGAUGCAGACUCG